UGAUAGCGAUGAAGUCUGAGGUUGCGCCAAUGGCGGUAAUUCGGCGGAGCGAAUGUCAAGUUAGAAAACUGGCGACAA
RNAcentral lists this non-coding RNA (78 nucleotides) under bovine gut metagenome. RNAcentral describes it as "S10-Clostridia ribosomal protein leader". It matches the Rfam family "S10-Clostridia ribosomal protein leader". The record is from RNAcentral.